Arvicola amphibius (Eurasian water vole) is the source of this 2342-nucleotide long non-coding RNA. RefSeq lists it as uncharacterized. NCBI's taxonomy places the organism in Eukaryota, Metazoa, Chordata, Mammalia, Rodentia, Cricetidae. The transcript is spliced from 6 exons. The record is from RefSeq and is a predicted model, not a curated record.
CUGUAAAGUGGGAGAGGAACAGGAGCUACCUGGAGUUUCUCUGAUUAGAUAAGAUGAUCCACCCUGAAUGAAAAGAGAAUAAAAAGGAAAGGAAAGGACGUGACUGCUACUAGGUUUCCCAAUGAUAUGCUGUUCUGUUUUGGGAUCCUAAGCAGGACACACCACUGCAUUUAGUCAACAUGUCUGGGCAUGCUCUGUCCUAGAGUCGCUUGGAGGAUGAGAUCUGGACUCUUGAAGCAUUGGUGCCUGAAGCGUUGUUUGAAGUUAAAUAGAAGUAGAAAAAGGUUGAAGAUAAUUGAUCCAAAAAUAAAGACACAUUGGCUCCUGGCAACAUCAAUCUACUUCAAAGAAGAUGAUCAGCACUGCAGAGCCUCUACAUGGAGUUUACUUUCUUUGUGGCAAAAGUUAGUCACUGGGCAAAGAAACUGCCCUCAUCUCAUUUGCUGACAAUCACUGUCCAAACUGGACCAGCAGGACACAAGAAAGGUUGAUGUAGGAACCUCAAGACUCCUUUGAAAACAUGCCUCAUCACUUCCAGCCAGAUUUAGAAAGCCCACCUGGAUCAGCUUGCUCAAUGUCAGAGCCUCCGGCAACUGAAAUAUCUGCAUAUAUUGGUGUCAAAUUCCCUUUACAUCUUGGGGCUCUGCAAAGGUUGAGAGCCAAUAUUGCAGGUACUCUCAAAACACUGGAUUUUCUGGCCUUGGGACGACAGACUCAGAUCAGUGUCCUCAUACCUCCCUCAACCAACGUUACCAACACAUUAACAUUAAUUUCCAUGAUAAUAGAAUCUCCAAGCCAAGUCUUGAGUGAAGAUCUGGAUCACACAGGGAGUUGAAAAGAUGAUUCUGGAGCAGUAACCUGCUCCUCUGGAAUGCUAUCACCGCUGGGGUUUUGUCUACAGAAAACAAAGUAAUCAUCUUUAUUCAGAGUUCAUGGGUACAUUCAGGUCCAUAAGGCAGACGAAGAAGGUCAUCUUUGCAUCAAGAUUCUAUGCAACAUGUCAUAUAACAUUGUGUGUAUGACAAGCAGAGCAGAUUCUGUUUCUGUUUGCAGAAGAGACAAGAAUGUCACUUCUUUUCCUUGUCCCGGUCAUUAGUUGUAGUCGUCUUGUGUGUCUGUUCAGUGAUUGUUGUGCCAAUUGUUGCACCCAGACUUUUACAAGAUGAGAUACCUUUCAUUUAGGAAUGCUGGAGACAGAGUUGGUCAAGUUUCUUCAUUUGACCCAGAAAAAUUGCAAAUUGUAUCAUGGUAGACUGAACCCAGUUUAUUCAGAGUCCAACUUCUGGAUGUCCUCUGGAUGGAAAACUUGCAGAACUUUCUUGAAAGUCUGUAUGCACAGUUACAAAAACUUCAUCCUUUUACAUUGGAACUGGAAAUUUUUUUUUCUCUCAGGCCCAACCCAAGAAGUCGUCUUGUUCUUGCAGAUGUGUCCCUAAGCAAAGGUCAGUUACCACCAUCCGUUUGUCUCCUUUUCAGUUUCUGGAUCAGGCUUCUCUACUUGCUUCUUACUCUGCUUCUGAGGAGCAGCCAUCCUCCUCCUUUCCAGCCCAUACAUUCCGUAACUCCUGGUGCUCAUUCUGCAAAUGGAGUACUCCAAGUCUCCACCUGCUGUGGGUAAACAGGUGAAGAGUCAGUAGACAAAACAAGACCCAAUUUAAUCAGCUCCUUUCCACAUCUCUAAUGUCAGCUCUUACUUUCUUCCUUCUGGAUCUUGGCAGUGUUUGUGUUAUUCCCUAAUAUGGGGCAUCCAACAAAGAUCUCAUGGUGCCAGGCAAUGGCUCUUUCUGAGCUGCAUCCGUAGCUCUGUCUCACUUCCCUCCAUUCAGUUACUCUAGACCUGGUACUACUAGUGCCCGUGGAGAGACAGGGACAGGCUUUUUUCACUGUGCCCACAUCGUCUCUAUUCCUCCCCACACUUAACUGUCCUUUCCUAUCAGAUCUCAAUAGCAGUCAAGGCUUCUGCUGUCUUCCAAACUGAUGCUACCAAAGGCCUCUGAUCUACCUAUAGCUGUCCACGGUCUCAACCUCAGAUUCUCUCUCCCCUGUGCCCCAGAAUCCUCCCUUUGACCUUACCUGGGUCUUGUCCACUUUAGGUGACUAUUUGGUGUCAGUAGGACAUCCAGCCAAUCCAGAACAGCCUGGAAGAUUUCCUUGUAGUGUUUUUUCAUCAGGGCCCACACAGGGAGGUAGGGGGAGUGACCAGGCUGUGACCACAGUCUUCAUAAUCUGAGUGAGUGAAGACCUCCUGGCACAGUGGUGGAAAGGCUCCAAGGACAGUCCCUCAAGACAGACAACCGUGUCCUCGUCCUUCAGAUCCUCCUCCUUCACCUGCUCCAGGAGCU